GAAAAUAAAGGCCUUCUUGUUUUAUUUUUCCAUAUUAGGAUACAAAUAGCCAUGUCUAUAGACAUGGAAAUGACAUAAGUUUGAAGGCCCUAAUUUCCAAUUCAGAGUAUAUGUACUCUGAAAUUUUACAUAUAAUAAACACACAAUAAUUAAGCACGUACAUAAUUAAGAUACUCCACUGCUGGCUAUCAAAUUUUAUUCUAGUUGUAAUGCACCUACCACCACAGUUUGAUCAGCAAGCAGAGCGAGCU
This 251-nucleotide long non-coding RNA is filed under the name Durio zibethinus. RNAcentral describes it as "long non-coding RNA (DZIB_LNC000829)". Lineage: Eukaryota; Viridiplantae; Streptophyta; Magnoliopsida; Malvales; Malvaceae. The record is from RNAcentral.